This is a non-coding RNA of Ailuropoda melanoleuca (giant panda), 1313 nucleotides long. The record is from the annotation of a RefSeq genome assembly. Lineage: Eukaryota; Metazoa; Chordata; Mammalia; Carnivora; Ursidae.
AAUUUAACAAUUAUUUCGGAGUGCUUAAAAAAAUGACAGUCACAGUUCUAAAUAUUGGGGCACAGUACCAAAAACAAAGAAUCACUCAGCAAUGACCUGACUUCCUAUUACUUUUUCCAUGUUCAACCCCAACCCAUUUCUGGCAGUCGGUGGGUUACAGGCUGGCCCACAUGGCACAUGAGAAUAUGAAGCACUGUAGUAAGAUGCUUAGAAGAUUAUUAUCCUCCCACCUACAGAAACGCCCUCCGAAGCUGUGUUAAAGAACUUCCAUAGCAGGUAGUGUCUUAAGAACAAAAUAGACCUGAGAGGGCAGGAUUGCUGUUCAGAAUUCCAGGGGCACCUGAAAACUGACAUGUGCCUCAUGAAGUCAGAGAUGAAACACAUGGUGACUUGGGGAGGACUCUGGCCAACACGCACGCACUUCAGGCCCCGUCCACCAGGGGGCGCAGCUUCCUACCACAAUCACAUUUCCUGUGUGAAAUGUGGGCUUGCACUGAUCAUUUCUCUGUCACUCCAAAGCUGCUUCAUGGUAAGAAAGAAGAACAUUAUUUAGGUGACACUGCAGAGAUGAAGUGUUCUCCAGGUUUCGUGACUGCGGUACUCUUAAUGCUUGGACAAACCCAAGGAGACUCAGUGACCCAGUCAGAAGGCCAACUGACCCUCUUAGAAAAGGAGUCCCUGACUAUAAACUGUACUUUUUCAACGACAUGGUCCCCCACUCUUUUCUGGUAUGUCCAGCAUCCCGGAGAAGGUCUACAGCUCCUUCUGAAAGCCAUGAAGGAGAAGGAGAAGGGAAUCAACAAAGGAUUUGAAGCCACCUAUGACAAAGAUUCCAAAUCCUUCCACCUGGAGAAAGGCUCAGUGCAAGCAUCAGAUUCAGCUGUGUACUACUGUGCCAUGAGUGACACAGUGACAGGGACUACAGGGGGAGCUGAGCGCAAACUCUGAGCAGAACAGGGGCCUGGAUGCUGAGAGUCUCUGACUGACCCACUCUGGUUCCAGCUCAGUCUGUGGUUGUCUGUCCCCCAGUGUCUGCUUGAUACAAAAUCACAGAGACACCGAGAGUAUAGGAACCAGAAGUAUCAUCCCCACUCCAGCUGUUCCUUAGUGACACUGAGGACAAUUUGAUGCCAAGAGUCCCUCAGCCAGGGAGUAGGUAAUUUCCAGGUAAAAUCACGUGGUCUCUUGCUCAUCCUUGCAGUGAACGUCCAGCCCCACAAGUUUUUCAGGGUAUCCUGGUGAGUGUUGCUGUGUCUGUGACACUUUUAGAGACACACGGUGUGUCUGAGAAGGUGGUGAUGUCCAUUGUCUUC